AUAUUUCGGAACUGAGUCUAGUUCCUUCGAUGUCAAUGUAUAUUCUAAGUAUCAUGUCUUACAAUACAUUGAUAUCGAAGGAACAAGACUCAGUUCCGAAAUAU
This is a non-coding RNA of Paramuricea clavata, 104 nucleotides long. The record is from the annotation of a GenBank genome assembly. NCBI's taxonomy places the organism in Eukaryota, Metazoa, Cnidaria, Anthozoa, Malacalcyonacea, Plexauridae.